GCGUAUAUGGUUCAAUGGUAGAAUGGCGCCUUCCCAAGGCGUUGACCCGGGUUCGAUUCCCGGUAUGCGCA
Vavraia culicis subsp. floridensis is the source of this 71-nucleotide transfer RNA. It matches the Rfam family "tRNA". Rfam says of the family: Transfer RNA (tRNA) molecules are approximately 80 nucleotides in length. Their secondary structure includes four short double-helical elements and three loops (D, anti-codon, and T loops). NCBI's taxonomy places the organism in Eukaryota, Fungi, Microsporidia, Pleistophoridae. The record is from Rfam.